GUGUCUUGGCUAAGGUGUCUUGGCUAAGGUGUCUUGGCUAAUGUGUCUUGGCUAAGGUGUCUUGGCUAAGGUGUCUUGGCUAAUGUGUCUUGGCUAAGGUGUCUUGGCUAAGGUGUCUGGGCUAAGGUGUCUUGGCUAAGGUGUCUUGGCUAAGGUGUCUUGGCUAAGGUGUCUUGGCUAAGGUGUCUUGGCUAAGGUGUCUUGGCUAAGGUGUCUUGGCUAAUGUGUCUUGGCUAAGGUUUCUUGGCUAAGGUGUCUUGGCUAAGGUGUCUCGGCUAAUGUGUCUUGGCUAAGGUGUCUUGGCUAAGGUGUCUUGGCUAAGGUGUCUUGGCUAAGGUGUCUCGGCUAAUGUGUCUUGGCUAAAGUGUCUUUGCUAAGGUGUCUUGGCUAAGGUGUCUUGGCUAAUGUGUCUCGGCUAAUGUGUCUUGGCUAAAGUGGCUUGGCUAAUGUGUCUUGGCUAAAGUGUCUUGGCUAAGGUGUCUUGGCUAAUGUGUCUCGGCUUAGGUGUCUUGGCUAAGGUGUCUUGGCUAAGGUGUCUCGGCUAAUGUGUCUUGGCUAAGGUGUCUUGGCUAAGGUGUCUUGGCUAAUGUGUCUCGGCUAAUGUGUCUUGGCUAAUGUGUCUUGGCUAAGGUGUCUUGGCUAAGGUGUCUUGGCUAAUGUGUGUUGACUAAAGUGUCUUGGCUAAUGUGUCUCGGCUAAAGUGUCUUGGCUAAGGUGUCUUGGCUAAGGUGUCUUGGCUAAGGUGUCUUGGCUAAGGUGUCUCGGCUAAUGUGUCUUGGCUAAGGUGUCUUGGCUAAGGUGUCUUGGCUAAGGUGUCUUGGCUAAUGUGUCUCGGCUAAUGUGUCUUGGCUAAAGUGGCUUGGCUAAUGUGUCUUGGCUAAUGUGUCUCGGCUAAGGUGUCUUGGCUAAUGUGUCUUGGCUAAGGUGUCUCGGCUAAUGUGUCUUGGCUAAGGUGUCUUGGCUAAUGUGUCUCGGCUAAAGUGUCUUGGCUAAGGUGUCUUGGAUGAGGUGUCUUGGCUAAGGUGUCUUGGCUAAUGUGUCUCGGCUAAAGUGUCUUGGCUAAGGUGUCUUGGCUAAGGUGUCUUGGCUAAGGUGUCUUGGCUAAUGUGUCUCGGCUAAGGUGUCUUGGCUAAUGUGUCUUGGCUAAGGUGUCUCGGCUAAUGUGUCUUGGCUAAGGUGUCUUGGCUAAUGUGUCUCGGCUAAUGUGUCUUGGCUAAGGUGUCUUGGCUAAGGUGUCUUGGCUAAGGUGUCUUGGCUAAUGUGUCUCGGCUAAUGUGUCUUGGCUAAAGUGGCUUGGCUAAUGUGUCUUGGCUAAGGUGUCUUGGCUAAGGUGUCUUGGCUAAUGUGUCUCGGCUAAGGUGUCUUGGCUAAGGUGUCUUGGCUAAGGUGUCUCGGCUAAUGUGUCUUGGCUAAGGUGUCUUGGCUAAGGUGUCUUGGCUAAUGUGUCUUGGCUAAGGUGUCUCGGCUAAUGUGUCUUGGCUAAGGUGUCUUGGCUAAUGUGUCUCGGCUAAAGUGUCUUGGCUAAGGUGUCUUGGAUGAGGUGUCUUGGCUAAGGUGUCUUGGCUAAUGUGUCUCGGCUAAAGUGUCUUGGCUAAGGUGUCUUGGCUAAGGUGUCUUGGCUAAGGUGUCUUGGCUAAUGUGUCUCGGCUAAGGUGUCUUGGCUAAUGUGUCUUGGCUAAGGUGUCUCGGCUAAUGUGUCUUGGCUAAGGUGUCUUGGCUAAUGUGUCUCGGCUAAUGUGUCUUGGCUAAGGUGUCUUGGCUAAGGUGUCUUGGCUAAGGUGUCUUGGCUAAUGUGUCUCGGCUAAUGUGUCUUGGCUAAAGUGGCUUGGCUAAUGUGUCUUGGCUAAAGUGUCUUGGCUAAGGUGUCUUGGCUAAUGUGUCUCGGCUUAGGUGUCUUGGCUAAGGUGUCUUGGCUAAGGUGUCUCGGCUAAUGUGUCUUGGCUAAGGUGUCUUGGCUAAGGUGUCUUGGCUAAGGUGUCUUGGCUAAUGUGUCUUGGCUAAUGUGUCUCGGCUAAUGUGUCUUGGCUAAAGUGGCUUGGCUAAUGUGUCUUGGCUAAAGUGUCUUGGCUAAGGUGUCUUGGCUAAUGUGUCUCGGCUUAGGUGUCUUGGCUAAGGUGUCUUGGCUAAGGUGUCUCGGCUAAUGUGUCUUGGCUAAGGUGUCUUGGCUAAGGUGUCUUGGCUAAUGUGUCUCGGCUAAUGUGUCUUGGCUAAUGUGUCUUGGCUAAGGUGUCUUGGCUAAGGUGUCUUGGCUAA
Molecule: long non-coding RNA, 2253 nt
Organism: Anopheles funestus (African malaria mosquito)
Lineage: Eukaryota; Metazoa; Arthropoda; Insecta; Diptera; Culicidae
Exons: 3
Source: RefSeq, a predicted model, not a curated record